UGUCUUAAUUGUUCCCCUAUUUAGCUUUCCUACACAGUAAAAAAUGGGGUGUUAAUAUUUCAGAGUAAAGUUAUUUUAACCCAGAUAGAGUAUUUUCAACAUUUUGGGGAGUAAAACUGCUCUUUUAGUGGAGUUAAAAGUGAGUGUAAAAAUCUGCAGAAACGCAGUGACAAUUUCAACUCUACAGUAGUGAUAAAUACCCACCACUCUGCUGUGCUUGUCAAACGUGCUGCAUUUCAGUGGAGGAAGAUUGCGAAGGAGCAACGCUAGGCCACUGAUAUUGCUCGGGGCAAAAUGCUGUUGUGUGUUCAAUUCGGGGAAGAGCAGAAAUACGUCAAGCUGUCUGAGCUGACAUUCGAUGCUUUCUUGAAAGAAGUUACAUAAAAUCGGCUGCAGAUACCAUGGUGACCAAUGGUUUGAGGGUUCAAAUGAGGGUUCAAAGUCUGUCUCAAUGUAGCUUCAAAAUCUCGAUAUGAUCCCAGCAGAGAAAUAAGGUUCUUAUCUAGUUAAAUGAUCGGUCAUUUUCAAAAUAAAAAUACCACAAUUGUACGUUGUAGAAUCUCAAGAUGUGCCACAUGUGCCGUCAUGAUGUCGUAAAGGUCCAAUUGUGGUUAAAAAUUAUAUUAUUUUUAUU
This is a long non-coding RNA of Carassius gibelio (silver crucian carp), 634 nucleotides long. RefSeq lists it as uncharacterized. The record is from RefSeq and is a predicted model, not a curated record. NCBI's taxonomy places the organism in Eukaryota, Metazoa, Chordata, Actinopteri, Cypriniformes, Cyprinidae. The transcript has 3 exons.